This 253-nucleotide ribosomal RNA is filed under the name uncultured bacterium. RNAcentral describes it as "partial 16S ribosomal RNA". It matches the Rfam family "Bacterial small subunit ribosomal RNA", at positions 524 to 776 of the family's 1533-position model. The record is from RNAcentral.
UACGGGGGGGGCAAGCGUUGUUCGGAAUUACUGGGCGUAAAGGGCUCGUAGGCGGCCAACUAAGUCAGACGUGAAAUCCCUCGGCUUAACCGGGGAACUGCGUCUGAUACUGGUUGGCUUGAAUCCGGGAGAGGGAUGUGGAAUUCCAGGUGUAGCGGUGAAAUGCGUAGAUAUCUGGAGGAACACCGGUGGCGAAGGCGGCAUCCUGGACCGGUAUUGACGCUGAGGAGCGAAAGCUAGGGGAGCAAACGGG